CUUUGCUCCUCUGUCCGGGCCGCCAUCUUGCCUCCUCUUGGAGCCUGAGACUUCAAGCCAUGCAGCAGCAGGUGGAGCGUUAAUAGCAAGUCUGAAGAAUUCAUCUGAACCCUAAAACCAUCCACCUGAAGGCAGUCCCGCCUCUAGACUCUUCAAGGAUCUGGGCGGGGGCCCCUGAGUGGCUCAAACCCAGAGUCCUGAUGGACAGAUACUGCCCUCCCAAAUUCUCCUUCCGUGAUGAGCUCCGAAGUUUCCGGUCUAAGGAAGAGGGCAAACAGUGCAAGGCCCCUAAGAUCCUCCUGCUGUAUGACGGCAACGUGUCGCGUGGAGAAUCAGGAGAUGCAAGUGGAAGGAAGUACUCAGACAUGUG
This is a long non-coding RNA of Suricata suricatta (meerkat), 370 nucleotides long. RefSeq lists it as uncharacterized. NCBI's taxonomy places the organism in Eukaryota, Metazoa, Chordata, Mammalia, Carnivora, Herpestidae. The record is from RefSeq and is a predicted model, not a curated record. The transcript is spliced from 3 exons.